Molecule: ribosomal RNA, 467 nt
Filed under: uncultured bacterium
Lineage: Bacteria
Description: partial 16S ribosomal RNA
Rfam family: Bacterial small subunit ribosomal RNA
Source: RNAcentral
GAUGAACGCUGGCGGCGUGCUUAACACAUGCAAGUCGAACGGAAAGGCCCAAGCUUGCUUGGGUGCUCGAGUGGCGAACGGGUGAGUAACACGUGGGUGAUCUGCCCCGCACUUCGGGAUAAGCCUGGGAAACUGGGUCUAAUACCGGAUAGGACAUUGGUUUGGAUGGCAUUGGGUGGAGUGUUUCCGCGGUGGGGUGUGCUCGCGCCCUAUCUGCGUGUUGGUGGGGUAAUGGCGUAACACGGCGUCGUCGGGUAGCCGGCCUGAGAGGGUGUACGGGCACAUUGGGACUGAGAUACGGCCCAGACUCCGACGGGAGGCAGCAGUGGGGAAUAUUGCACAAUGGGCGCAAGCCGGAUGCAGCGACGCCGCGUGGGGGAUGACGGCCGUCGGGUUGUAAACUCCUUUCGCUAGGGACGAAGCGUUAUGUGACGGUACCUAGAGAAGAAGCACCGGCUAACUACGUG